UGAAACCACUUUGUGUGUCACCGUCCCCU
RNAcentral lists this non-coding RNA (29 nucleotides) under Rattus norvegicus (Norway rat). Lineage: Eukaryota; Metazoa; Chordata; Mammalia; Rodentia; Muridae. The record is from RNAcentral.